GACGAACGCUGGCGGCGUGCUUAACACAUGCAAGUCGAACGAGAUCCAAUGUGUAGCACUCCACAGGAAGAUCUAGUGGCGAACGGGUGAGGAACACGUGAGAAACGUACCCCAGACUUUGGGAUAACAGUCCGAAAGGACUGCUAAUACCAAAUAACGUCGGAAGUCCGCAUGGACAUCUGACGAAAGGGAUUCCGGUUUGGGAGCGUCUCGCGGACCUAUCAGCUAGUUGGAGGGGUAACGGCCCACCAAGGCAACGACGGGUAGCUGGUCUGAGAGGAUGGUCAGCCACACUGGGACUGAGACACGGCCCAGACUCCUACGGGAGGCAGCAGUGGGGAAUCUUGCGCAAUGGGCGAAAGCCUGACGCAGCAACGCCGCGUGCGGGAAGAAGGCUUUCGGGCUGUAAACCGCUUUCAGUAGGAACGAAACUGACGGUACCUACAGAAGAAGGAGCGGCCAACUAUGUG
Molecule: ribosomal RNA, 470 nt
Filed under: uncultured bacterium
Lineage: Bacteria
Description: partial 16S ribosomal RNA
Rfam family: Bacterial small subunit ribosomal RNA
Source: RNAcentral